UGGAUAACCUCGGGAAACUGAGGAUAAACCGCGAUAGGCCAUGAUUUCUGGAAUGGUUCAUGGCUAAAAUCUAUAUGGCCUCUGGAUUGGACUGCGGCCGAUCAGGCUGUUGGUGAGGUAAUGGCCCACCAAACCUAUAACCGGUACGGGCUCUGAGAGGAGGAGCCCGGAGAUGGGCACUGAGACAAGGGCCCAGGCCCUAUGGGGCGCAGCAGGCGCGAAAUCUCUGCAAUAGGCGAAAGCUUGACAGGGUUACUCUGAGUGAUUCCCGCUAAGGGGAUCUUUUGGCACCUCUAAAAAUGGUGCAGAAUAAGGGGUGGGCAAGUCUGGUGUCAGCCGCCGCGGUAAUACCAGCACCCCGAGUGGUCGGGACGAUUAUUGGGCCUAAAGCAUCCGUAGCCGGUACUGCAAGUCUUCCGUUAAAUCCACCUGCUCAACAGUUGGGCUGCGGGGGAUACUACAGCGCUAGGAGGCGGGAGAGGCAAGCGGUACUUAAUGGGUAGGGGUAAAAUCCACUGAGCCAUUGAAGACCACCAGUGGCGAAGGCGGCUUGCCAGAACGCGCUCGACGGUGAGGGAUGAAAGCUGGGGGAGCAAACCGGAUUAGAUACCCGGGUAGUCCCAGCUGUAAACGAUGCAGACUCGGUGAUGGGCUGGCCUUGUGCCAACCCAGUGCCGCAGGGAAGCCGUUAAG
Molecule: ribosomal RNA, 693 nt
Filed under: uncultured crenarchaeote
Lineage: Archaea; Thermoproteati; Thermoproteota
Description: SSU rRNA
Rfam family: Archaeal small subunit ribosomal RNA
Source: RNAcentral